GAUUUUUUCUUUUUCUAUAUUCUAAUAUAAAAGGGAUUUUAAGAUAAUAUGCGUAUAUAAUGAGUAUUGAUAUUUUAAAGUAUAGAACUGAACGAUUAAUGUUGAUACCAAAUGUACAUUUUCCAAUUCUCCUCAUUCUGGAUAUUUUGGAAAGCUAUGAGAUCCAUCUUAAAGCUCUGCUCAGUUUUAUUCUGGGUUCCUUCAUGGUUGGACCAUAAUUUUAUUCAUAAGGCUGAUACUCGCAGAUGGAUAGGCUGGCCAACCUCUGGUUUGUAAAAUUCAUAUCUUCCUAGUCCGAGUAGCUUUGUGGAUUAUUCCAAUUGGGCUUGACACCUUCUUGAGUUUAGAAUCUCCAUGAAAAUUGGUUUCAUGACAAAAUUCUUCAUGGUUGGUGAGAUAUGAGUUUUGACAGAACACAUAUCUAGGCUGGUACUUUGAUUUGCUGAUUGGUGCAUUUGGUUGGCCUUUGAUUCAGGUACCGUUCCUGUUCCCACAACACUCAUGGAUUCAACCACCUUCAAAUAAAAUUAUGGCGACUAGAAGAGACAUCUGAGCACUCAUAACAUACACUAACAGUCAAGGGAGGCAGUUAUCACCCUUGGUUUUCUUGAUGCGUUCACACUUGCAAGUUUAAAAGCUAAUGGAUAUAUUAUCGUAUGUUUAGAAGUAUCUUCUUCCUUUUCUGAAUAAUAGGAGAUUCAGAGCUAAAGUCUGUAAUUUUUCCAUGUCCGAAACCACAAUAUGUAAUAUUAGUUUUGUUCCAAAGGUCUUUCGAACUGGGGACUUCUAACACAAUGACCAAGAUUCCUUUCCAGCUAAGUUAGUGACCUCUGGUGUUCGAAGAUCUUCAUAAUUGUAAACUUGCCUUUUCUGGAUGCAUUCACACUUCCAAGCUUUUAAGGAUCUUUUAUUCUGAUCACAAGAUUCACAACCACUGCAUUCUUUAGACAUUCCCAAUGGACAUGAAUAAAGACCCCCAUACUUUCGCCAUAACACUCGUAAGACUAAAAAUAAUCAUCACCUUCUAUAUUUUUGGCUAAAAGAGCCAUGUAAGGCUAACUGUUCUUUUCAUUUAGUUUAUGUGAUUUAUUUUUUAUUCUUAGCUUAGUUAUCAUUGUUUAGGAGCCUAUAAAAGAUUGGAAAAAUUAAGUGUUUAC
Molecule: long non-coding RNA, 1157 nt
Filed under: Brassica napus (rape)
Lineage: Eukaryota; Viridiplantae; Streptophyta; Magnoliopsida; Brassicales; Brassicaceae
Description: long non-coding RNA (BNAP_LNC023896)
Source: RNAcentral